AGAGUUUGAUCAUGGCUCAGAUUGAACGCUGGCGGCAGGCCUAACACAUGCAAGUCGAGCGGAUGAAGGGAGCUUGCUCCCUGAUUCAGCGGCGGACGGGUGAGUAAUGCCUAGGAAUCUGCCUGGUAGUGGGGGACAACGUUUCGAAAGGAACGCUAAUACCGCAUACGUCCUACGGGAGAAAGCAGGGGACCUUCGGGCCUUGCGCUAUCAGAUGAGCCUAGGUCGGAUUAGCUAGUUGGUGAGGUAAUGGCUCACCAAGGCGACGAUCCGUAACUGGUCUGAGAGGAUGAUCAGUCACACUGGAACUGAGACACGGUCCAGACUCCUACGGGAGGCAGCAGUGGGGAAUAUUGGACAAUGGGCGAAAGCCUGAUCCAGCCAUGCCGCGUGUGUGAAGAAGGUCUUCGGAUUGUAAAGCACUUUAAGUUGGGAGGAAGGGUUGCUGAUUAAUACUCUGCAAUUUUGACGUUACCGACAGAAUAAGCACCGGCUAACUCUGUGCCAGCAGCCGCGGUAAUAC
Molecule: ribosomal RNA, 523 nt
Filed under: Pseudomonas sp. MSB2097
Lineage: Bacteria; Pseudomonadati; Pseudomonadota; Gammaproteobacteria; Pseudomonadales; Pseudomonadaceae
Description: bacterial SSU rRNA
Rfam family: Bacterial small subunit ribosomal RNA
Source: RNAcentral